Molecule: long non-coding RNA, 611 nt
Organism: Carcharodon carcharias (great white shark)
Lineage: Eukaryota; Metazoa; Chordata; Chondrichthyes; Lamniformes; Lamnidae
Exons: 2
Source: RefSeq, a predicted model, not a curated record
UACAACAACAACAACGUUAGCUGCCAGCCAGCCGGCUGGCCGCCAUGUUUGUGCGGGGUAGGGGAUGUCUGCCGAUGAGUUGCCGCUGGAGUUCGCUGUCGGACAAGUUGUUUGUUGACUGAGUUAAUAAUCAUUAUAAAUAGCUCUCUAAUUAAACUGCCUGUGCGGCCUCUACAAUGUGUGGGUUCAGGUAUUUCAGCUGACUUUUUUGGAGACUCCUAAUGUUUUCUAUGGGAGGAUGGAUGGAUGUGUGGGGGAACCUAAACUGAACUCUUGUACGAUUACGUGUUGGUCCAAAAUUACAAAGAUGCUGCCCGACCUGCUGAAUGUUUUCAGUAUUUUUUGUUUUAUUUCAAUGGGCCAGACCUUACUGUGAAAAAUAAUGGUGAGGCUAACAGCUUGCACCAUUAUCUAUUUGCAAAUUGGAUAGCAACUUCCAGUGACCACCUAUGCUUGGUUAAACGCAAAUCUGGAAGUUGUUGUCUAAGAUGCAAUGUUUCUCCUUAAGGUUCUUGAAAAUGGUAUCUUCUCUGAUUCAUGAUUCAAAUGUUUUUAAUGGCAUGAAGUUUCUGUACUUCGUAGAAAUGCAAUAAAUUUGCCAGAAAAAGUUA